AUGUAUCUAUUUGACCGACAUGGGACACUUCUUGUACUGCUGCUAAGGGUUUCACUAUAGAUACAACAGGAAAGUAUCCUUGAGCUUUCUGAAUGUAGCAGCCAAGAUUGAAUGGGAGAAUAAAGUA
This 127-nucleotide small nucleolar RNA is filed under the name Panthera tigris altaica (Amur tiger). RNAcentral's name for it is "Small nucleolar RNA SNORA31 (ENSPTIG00000003116.1)". The record is from RNAcentral. Lineage: Eukaryota; Metazoa; Chordata; Mammalia; Carnivora; Felidae.